This 261-nucleotide long non-coding RNA is filed under the name Linum usitatissimum (flax). Its description in RNAcentral is "long non-coding RNA (LUSI_LNC000654)". Lineage: Eukaryota; Viridiplantae; Streptophyta; Magnoliopsida; Malpighiales; Linaceae. The record is from RNAcentral.
GAGCCAAUCGGAUUCCGGUGGAGGAAUGUUGUUGUUGUUAUCCAGAUUGGGAUACAACCUCCCGCUGGAAUACUCCCUCCCGAAUCCGCCGCACCAUGUCCGGCGAUCUGAAGAAUUGUUGUCCUUACUUCUUGUGCUACUAGUGUUGGGUUUUAUCCCAAACAAGCUCUUGAUCCACCUACUAGCUUUACCCAUUACUAUUAUUCUCCAGAGAAUGAAAGAGAGAAGUAGUGGGGAAACAGAAGGGGGUUAUGGGAAUGG